This 818-nucleotide ribosomal RNA is filed under the name uncultured Bacillota bacterium. RNAcentral's name for it is "bacterial SSU rRNA". It matches the Rfam family "Bacterial small subunit ribosomal RNA", at positions 1 to 817 of the family's 1533-position model. Lineage: Bacteria; Bacillati; Bacillota. The record is from RNAcentral.
UGGAUCCAGACUUUGAUUCUGGCUCAGGACGAACGCUGGCGGCGUGCUUAACACACGCAAGUCGAACGGAGCACCCUUGAUUGAGGUUUCGGCCAAAUGAUAGGAAUGCUUAGUGGCGGACUGGUGAGUAACGCGUGAGGAACCUGCCUUUCAGAGGGGGACAACAGUUGGAAACGACUGCUAAUACCGCAUGACGCAUUUUGAUCGCAUGGUCGAAAUGCCAAAGAUUUAUCGCUGAAAGAUGGCCUCGCGUCUGAUUAGCUAGUUGGUGAGGUAACGGCCCACCAAGGCGACGAUCAGUAGCCGGACUGAGAGGUUGACCGGCCACAUUGGGACUGAGAUACGGCCCAGACUCCUACGGGAGGCAGCAGUGGGGAAUAUUGGGCAAUGGGCGCAAGCCUGACCCAGCAACGCCGCGUGAAGGGAGAAGGCUUUCGGGUUGUAAACUUCUUUUAAGUGGGAAGAGCAGAAGACGGUACCACUUGAAUAAGCCACGGCUAACUACGUGCCAGCAGCCGCGGUAAUACGUAGGUGGCAGGCGUUGUCCGGAUUUACUGGGUGUAAAGGGCGUGCAGCCGGGCAUGCAAGUCAGAUGUGAAAUCUCAGGGCUUAACCCUGAAACUGCAUUUGAAACUGUAUGUCUUGAGUGCCGGAGAGGUAAUCGGAAUUCCUUGUGUAGCGGUGAAAUGCGUAGAUAUAAGGAAGAACACCAGUGGCGAAGGCGGAUUACUGGACGGUAACUGACGGUGAGGCGCGAAAGCGUGGGGAGCGAACAGGAUUAGAUACCCUGGUAGUCCACGCUGUAAACGAUGGAUACU